This 258-nucleotide unclassified non-coding RNA is filed under the name Hevea brasiliensis (rubber tree). Lineage: Eukaryota; Viridiplantae; Streptophyta; Magnoliopsida; Malpighiales; Euphorbiaceae. The record is from RNAcentral.
AAAAAAAAAAAUGACUUGCUUUUUAGCUAAAUUGCAGGAUUGUUAAUUCAACUACUCAUACUAAAAACACAAAUAAGAAAGUAGAUUGCUCAAACUUGGAGUAUGAAGCAACAGUAUUCUUGAUGUGGGAUUAGGUAUAGUAAUGAAGUCUAUAUUACCUUGAGCCUGAUGGCUCGGCUGCAUAAUGAGGCUGAUGGUUGUAGUGGAAAGGAUUGGAACAUCUUGGAGAUAAAAUCGCUGUGAGGUUAGAAAGUGGAG